CUGUGUCCGAACCCUAGCACUGACAUUGCCGACCAGCUAGCCACAAGAACUCGCCGGCAGGAAGAACCAGCACCCCCAUUUUUUUUGUCUCUGCCCUAGAUUGCCGGAAUUCAGAAGAUUAGCCGACCACAGUGCCCUAGUUGGGUGUACUGCCGCCGCUGUUUCUCUGCACAGUGCCGCCGUCGUUCGCUCUAUUACCGGCCAGCCGAACCCUAGAUCGUUGCUUGCUCACCUGGGCCUAGUUCCCUACUGCUGAAGCCUUUAACCCGUGCCCUAGCAGUGAGCCAGGUUUUCAGCUGUGUCAAUUGGAAAUUCUUCGACCUUGGAUUUAAAAGUGAUACAUCCAGAUUUUUAGG
This is a long non-coding RNA of Zingiber officinale, 356 nucleotides long. RefSeq lists it as uncharacterized. NCBI's taxonomy places the organism in Eukaryota, Viridiplantae, Streptophyta, Magnoliopsida, Zingiberales, Zingiberaceae. The transcript has 3 exons. The record is from RefSeq and is a predicted model, not a curated record.